This 592-nucleotide ribosomal RNA is filed under the name Colletotrichum coccodes. RNAcentral's name for it is "eukaryotic LSU rRNA". The stretch from base 217 to 370 matches the Rfam family "5.8S ribosomal RNA". Lineage: Eukaryota; Fungi; Ascomycota; Sordariomycetes; Glomerellales; Glomerellaceae. The record is from RNAcentral.
GUAACAAGGUCUCCGUUGGUGAACCAGCGGAGGGAUCAUUACUGAGUUACCGCUCUAUAACCCUUUGUGAACAUACCUAACUGUUGCUUCGGCGGGCAGGGGGUGCCGCCUGCGGACCCCCCUCCCGGCCCUGCCCUCACGGGCGGAGCGCCCGCCGGAGGAUACCAAACUCUAUUUUAACGACGUUUCUUCUGAGUGGCACAAGCAAAUAAUUAAAACUUUCAACAACGGAUCUCUUGGUUCUGGCAUCGAUGAAGAACGCAGCGAAAUGCGAUAAGUAAUGUGAAUUGCAGAAUUCAGUGAAUCAUCGAAUCUUUGAACGCACAUUGCGCCCGCCAGCAUUCUGGCGGGCAUGCCUGUUCGAGCGUCAUUUCAACCCUCAAGCUCUGCUUGGUGUUGGGGCCCUACGGUUGACGUAGGCCCUUAAAGGUAGUGGCGGACCCUCUCGGAGCCUCCUUUGCGUAGUAACUAACGUCUCGCACUGGGAUUCGGAGGGACUCUUGCCGUAAAACCCCCAAAUUUUUAAAGGUUGACCUCGGAUCAGGUAGGAAUACCCGCUGAACUUAAGCAUAUCAAUAAGCGGAGGAACCUU